UGGGGAAUAUUGCACAAUGGGCGCAAGCCUGAUGCAGCCAUGACGCGUGUAUGAAGAAGGCCUUCGGGUUGUAAAGUACUUUCAGCGGGGAGGAAGGUGUUGUGGUUAAUAACCACAGCAAUUGACGUUACCCGCAGAAGAAGCACCGGCUAACUCCGUGCCAGCAGCCGCGGUAAUACGGAGGGUGCAAGCGUUAAUCGGAAUUACUGGGCGUAAAGCGCACGCAGGCGGUCUGUCAAGUCGGAUGUGAAAUCCCCGGGCUCAACCUGGGAACUGCAUCCGAAACUGGCAGGCUUGAGUCUUGUAGAGGGGGGUAGAAUUCCAGGUGUAGCGGUGAAAUGCGUAGAGAUCUGGAGGAAUACCGGUGGCGAAGGCGGCCCCCUGGACAAAGACUGACGCUCAGGUGCGAAAGCGUGGGGAGCAAACA
This 427-nucleotide ribosomal RNA is filed under the name uncultured bacterium. RNAcentral describes it as "partial 16S ribosomal RNA". It matches the Rfam family "Bacterial small subunit ribosomal RNA", at positions 355 to 774 of the family's 1533-position model. The record is from RNAcentral.